CGAACGGCAGCGCGGGAGCAAUCCUGGCGGCGAGUGGCGAACGGGUGAGUAAUACAUCGGAACGUGCCCAAUCGUGGGGGAUAACGCAGCGAAAGCUGUGCUAAUACCGCAUACGAUCUACGGAUGAAAGCAGGGGAUCGCAAGACCUUGCGCGAAUGGAGCGGCCGAUGGCAGAUUAGGUAGUUGGUGAGGUAAAGGCUCACCAAGCCUUCGAUCUGUAGCUGGUCUGAGAGGACGACCAGCCACACUGGGACUGAGACACGGCCCAGACUCCUACGGGAGGCAGCAGUGGGGAAUUUUGGACAAUGGGCGAAAGCCUGAUCCAGCCAUGCCGCGUGCAGGAUGAAGGCCUUCGGGUUGUAAACUGCUUUUGUACGGAACGAAACGGCCUUUUCUAAUAAAGAGGGCUAAUGACGGUACCGUAAGAAUAAGCACCGGCCAACUACGUGCCAGCAGCCGCGGUAAUACGUAGGGUGCAAGCGUUAAUCGGAAUUACUGGGCGUAAAGCGUGCGCAGGCGGUUAUGUAAGACAGUUGUGAAAUCCCCGGGCUCAACCUGGGAACUGCAUCUGUGACUGCAUAGCUAGAGUACGGUAGAGGGGGAUGGAAUUCCGCGUGUAGCAGUGAAAUGCGUAGAUAUGCGGAGGAACACCGAUGGCGAAGGCAAUCCCCUGGACCUGUACUGACGCUC
RNAcentral lists this ribosomal RNA (690 nucleotides) under uncultured beta proteobacterium. Its description in RNAcentral is "bacterial SSU rRNA". It matches the Rfam family "Bacterial small subunit ribosomal RNA", at positions 63 to 748 of the family's 1533-position model. Lineage: Bacteria; Pseudomonadati; Pseudomonadota; Betaproteobacteria. The record is from RNAcentral.